ACAUUAUUAUUGUUGGGUUAAAAUUUAUUUCUAAUUACUAUCUUAUCCCUACUUUUAUUCAAAAUUUACCAAAUUAACCCUAACCCUAAUUUUCACACAACACUCUUACCCUUUCUCCCUAACCCUCAGCAGUCGAAACCCUAAGCUGACUACCUCUUCCCAAAUUCAGCAGCAUUCAUGAAACAGAACAGAGAUAGAGAGUCAGGAACCAGGGGAGGGGGAAUCGGGGAAGUGGGACGGUGGGGUGCUGGCGAGGAGUGCCGUCGCCGUUGCUGUCGCCAGGAGAGGAGAGUGACGCGGAGGAGGGAGGUGACGCUUCAUUGUCGCCGCGCUCUGCUGCCACGAGGCCGCCGUCGUCGCUGCCUUGAAGGGAGCCGUAAGGGUCGCCGUUGAGCAUGAAAGGUUGGGAGAGAGAGAGCUUGCGUCUGAGACUGGAGAGGAGGUGUGGUCCGCGCUUUUGCCUCUAUCGCAACUGGCCCGCCGCCGCCACCGAAAGAAGUCGUCGCCGUCGCCUGAGAAGAAACCGACGAGAGAGAGGGAACUCGCAGAGAGGAACGCGAAGCAGGAGCCUCUGUCCGCCGAUCUGUCACCGUACUGUUGGGCUGUCGCCGCCACCAAGGGUCCGUCGCCGUGGGUUGUUUUCGCCGUCAGCGCUGCCAUUGAAGGGAGCUCGCCACCACGUUUGGUUGUUGCUGCCGCAUGCCCAUCUCUGCCGACGCUGAGAACGCACAAGGGUGGCAGACGCAGGGAGGGAGGCGGAGGAAGGAGGAGGAGGCGCCGUGUCUGGUAGUUGCCAUCCCGUCACCGCAGUUUACCUCUGCCACUGCCAACUGCUGCUCUCCGGUGCUUAGCUGGAGCUUCUGUUACUAUUGUCGGAGAUCUAUGGUUGCCGGAAAACACCGCUAUUGUUGUUGCGGAAGGAGGAAGAAGCCUCGCCGCUGAUCUGGCCGCCAGGAGCAGUCCUGUAGCCACCGGAACCACCGCCGGGGAUGCCUCUUCUUGACUCAGUCACUUCUUCUUAGUUGCGAAUUGCUGUGGUCGCUGUGGAAGUGGGUUGGAGUUGAGGUUACAGUUGCCGAGGUUACGGGCCGAGGAGAAAGGAUUUUGACGCGUUGUGUAGCUUUUGGGUUUCGAUUAUUCGGGGUAGGAGCCUUUCUUCGAAAACCAUACUUUAUAAUUUGAAAUUAUUAUAUAUGGAUAUUAUGUGCUAAAAAUGUAUAUUUGGGUGAUUGUAUAAGUCUUAUGUAAUGUUGGUUGUUUUGGAUGAAUACGAAUGCUUGGUUGAUUUAAUCAUUAUUUGGUUUUAUGAAACGGACGAUUUUGAAGUGCU
This is a long non-coding RNA of Arachis ipaensis, 1330 nucleotides long. RefSeq lists it as uncharacterized. Lineage: Eukaryota; Viridiplantae; Streptophyta; Magnoliopsida; Fabales; Fabaceae. The record is from RefSeq and is a predicted model, not a curated record.